Molecule: long non-coding RNA, 213 nt
Filed under: Elaeis guineensis (African oil palm)
Lineage: Eukaryota; Viridiplantae; Streptophyta; Magnoliopsida; Arecales; Arecaceae
Description: long non-coding RNA (EGUI_LNC064128)
Source: RNAcentral
AGCAAAAAAGAGCAAUAACAAAAGGUGGAAGCGAAAGUCGAAGCCCGACGCAGAAAGCUUCUUGGUAUAAACAGAAGCAGCCGGGGGGAGGAGUGCUAGCCCGGCCAGUUGGCCCGGGAAGCUCCAGCUCAUACUAUGGAGGAAUCCCAUAUUGAAACCUAAUCGGUCAGAGUUCCUUCGGAGUCAGAGAGCUAGGGAUGGUGUCUGGUACAA